This is a long non-coding RNA of Alnus glutinosa, 1034 nucleotides long. RefSeq lists it as uncharacterized. The transcript has 5 exons. The record is from RefSeq and is a predicted model, not a curated record. NCBI's taxonomy places the organism in Eukaryota, Viridiplantae, Streptophyta, Magnoliopsida, Fagales, Betulaceae.
CCCAAAUCUCCCCCUCUCCACCGACCGACGGCACCCACCGACCGGCGCCCACUGACGGACACUCUCCCUCUGCCAGCUCUCUCUCUCAAACCCAGUAGACACGAGCACCGCGGAUGUCCGACCAGGUCCGAUGAGGAGCGCCAGAGCCGACCACUCUCUACGGUUAGUAUCUCUCUCUCUCUCUCUCUCUCUCUCCUUCGGUGACUCCUUCUCUCACAAACACUAAGGCAAGGGCGCUUAAAUCUGGAACCACAAACCCCAAAAGCCCAAGCUCCAAGGACGGUCUUGGUAAGCUUUCGAGUGAUACCCUAAAAGUGUCUAUCUCCAGACUUAUGGCCAGAUCUGUGAAUUUGUUUUUAUGGCAAGAAAUGGUGUGUCCCUGUGAUUUGCAUUGCAGAGUAUACAUAUCACAAUAUCAUGGAUAAUGCUUCAAUUCCUCUGAGAAGUACUUGAAGAAAGAUAUCGUUGAUUUGCUUGCGAAUGGACUCGAUAUCAAUGCUUAUGGACGGGUGAUAUUAUUGAUUUAUUGCUGACACUGGGUGCCUAAGUUGAAUCACCAAAAUUGUCCAAGUGAGCGUAUGGAUUCUAGGCAGCUCCCAAGCUUGCUUAUAUCUCUUUGGUAAUCCAUGGUGGCAUAAUCAAGGUUCAGAACCAGCAGACAUUGCAGCUUUUGAAGAAGGAGAAAACUGAAAACAUGAAGUAAAAGGCCUGCAUCGUCAUUCAUUUUAUUCAGUAUCAUGCUUACUUAUUGAUGCAAUAAGGAUGCAAGGAAGAGUUUGUUGAAGGAGAGACAAGGACCUGGUUGUGACUGUGAUGUCCGCAAUUGGAGAGAAGCAGAUUUGUGCUAUGAAGGACAUUGGCCUUAAGUAGUUUAUUUAUAUAAAUUAUUGAAGGACUAUUGUUGCAAUUUUAGUUAAAGAUUUAUGUGAGCCUUUAUAGCUUGUUUUUCUUAAGACUGGGUAUAUUGGGUGGUUGAUGUGGAUCUGGAACAAAGUUCUAUUACCUUUUUCUCUUAUGGUAUGUUUGAUUUUUAA